UACGAAGGGGGCUAGCGUUGCUCGGAAUCACUGGGCGUAAAGGGUGCGUAGGCGGGUCUUUAAGUCGGGGGUGAAAGCCCGGGGCUCAACCUCGGAAUUGCCUUCGAUACUGGACAUCUUGAGUACGGGAGAGGUGAGUGGAACUCCGAGUGUAGAGGUGAAAUUCGUAGAUAUUCGCAAGAACACCAGUGGCGAAGGCGGCUCACUGGCCCGGUACUGACGCUGAGGUGCGAAAGCGUGGGGAGCAAACAGG
RNAcentral lists this ribosomal RNA (253 nucleotides) under uncultured bacterium. Its description in RNAcentral is "partial 16S ribosomal RNA". It matches the Rfam family "Bacterial small subunit ribosomal RNA", at positions 524 to 776 of the family's 1533-position model. The record is from RNAcentral.